Molecule: ribosomal RNA, 1414 nt
Filed under: metagenome
Description: bacterial SSU rRNA
Rfam family: Bacterial small subunit ribosomal RNA
Source: RNAcentral
UGACGAGUGGCGAACGGGUGAGUAAUGUAUCGGAACGUACCAUCCAGUGGGGGAUAACGUAGCGAAAGUUACGCUAAUACCGCAUAUUCUGUGAGCAGGAAAGCAGGGGAUCGCAAGACCUUGCGCUGAUUGAGCGGCCGAUAUCAGAUUAGCUAGUUGGUGGGGUAAAAGCUCACCAAGGCGACGAUCUGUAGCGGGUCUGAGAGGAUGAUCCGCCACACUGGAACUGAGACACGGUCCAGACUCCUACGGGAGGCAGCAGUGGGGAAUUUUGGACAAUGGGGGCAACCCUGAUCCAGCCAUGCCGCGUGAGUGAAGAAGGCCUUCGGGUUGUAAAGCUCUUUCGGCCGGGAAAAAAUCGCAUGGGUUAAUACCCUGUGUGGAUGAUGGUACCGGAAUAAGAAGCACCGGCUAACUACGUGCCAGCAGCCGCGGUAAUACGUAGGGUGCGAGCGUUAAUCGGAAUUACUGGGCGUAAAGCGUGCGCAGGCGGUUUUGUAAGACAGGCGUGAAAUCCCCGGGCUCAACCUGGGAACUGCGCUUGUGACUGCAAGGCUAGAGUAUGGCAGAGGGGGGUGGAAUUCCACGUGUAGCAGUGAAAUGCGUAGAGAUGUGGAGGAACACCAAUGGCGAAGGCAGCCCCCUGGGCCAAUACUGACGCUCAUGCACGAAAGCGUGGGUAGCAAACAGGAUUAGAUACCCUGGUAGUCCACGCCCUAAACGAUGUCAACUAGGUGUUGGGAGGGUAAAACCUUUUAGUACCGGAGCUAACGCGUGAAGUUGACCGCCUGGGGAGUACGGCCGCAAGGUUAAAACUCAAAGGAAUUGACGGGGACCCGCACAAGCGGUGGAUGAUGUGGAUUAAUUCGAUGCAACGCGAAAAACCUUACCUACCCUUGACAUGUCCAGGAGCCUGAAGAGAUUUGGGUGUGCCCGAAAGGGAACUGGAACACAGGUGCUGCAUGGCUGUCGUCAGCUCGUGUCGUGAGAUGUUGGGUUAAGUCCCGCAACGAGCGCAACCCUUGUCGUUAAUUGCCAUCAUUCAGUUGGGCACUUUAACGAGACUGCCGGUGACAAACCGGAGGAAGGUGGGGAUGACGUCAAGUCCUCAUGGCCCUUAUGGGUAGGGCUUCACACGUCAUACAAUGGUCGGUACAAAGGGUUGCCAACCCGCGAGGGGGAGCCAAUCCCAGAAAGCCGAUCGUAGUCCGGAUUGCAGGCUGCAACUCGCCUGCAUGAAGUCGGAAUCGCUAGUAAUCGUGGAUCAGCAUGUCACGGUGAAUACGUUCCCGGGUCUUGUACACACCGCCCGUCACACCAUGGGAGCGGGUUCCGCCAGAAGUAGGUAGCCUAACCGCAAGGGGGGCGCUUACCACGGCGGGGUUCGUGACUGGGGUGAAGUCGAAACAAGGUA